GAGGGAGGGGUGCUGACGGUCAGAGGAGAUGGACCAGAGAGCAUUGACCGGUACUGGACAAUUGAAAGGGAUUCAACGAUAAAGGACUGGUUGGAGCCCAGAGAGACUGAGUUUGGCUUAAAGGACAACUGUGAGCUGGACUAAUUUUAGUCCUGAUGAUUCUGCCAUGAGAUGGAGAAGGCAACCUCCAACCGAGAGGAUGGAGGCUAAGGAAAGCUCUGGUUCUGGACAACGUUUAUGGGGGCGUGGAAGACCAACUGCACGACAUCAUGCCACACUGGUUGGGUCCCUACCAUGUACAUCUCAUCUGCUGUCCAGGUAGCUGAGAGAGGAACCUGGGGACAACGACACACGCUACAGGAGGGCUUCUGUGUUUAAAGAUUAGGCACAGUGAAUUGAAGUCACUGAGGGAAAAGUGAGCUUUCUGGUACUGGUGACCAUCACUUCUGACCCGGCCUGAAGCUAUAGAGCCCUUAGAUAAAACUGGUCAUCUUGGCAUUCACAAAGGAGAACACACAGAUUCUCCUGACCUGUCUGAUAAAGCAGCUUGAGUGGAGACAUCUAGAGCUGUGUCAUGGAGCUAUGAAGGACAACACCUUGGAAUAUACAUCUGACUUUUACAUUCUGUUACACUGGCCUGCCAAGAAAUGGUUCAUAACUGACUGUCUGACGUUUGGAGGAGCAGAACAUUUGUAAUGACUUUGGAAGUACAUCUAAUUGGAACCAUGAGAGGACUUUUCAGUGAAUUGAGUAAUUGGCAUGAGAAGACUUUGUACCAGUGACAAAUUGAAGGAUGUAUUCAGUGAUAGGUGUUUACACACCCACGUGUCGAUGAUACAUAUUCUAUACUGUCAAUAUAUGUGUCACC
Molecule: long non-coding RNA, 868 nt
Organism: Esox lucius (northern pike)
Lineage: Eukaryota; Metazoa; Chordata; Actinopteri; Esociformes; Esocidae
Source: Ensembl